GCAUUGUCUCCACUGUCAUAUCGUCGAGCAAAGACUGGUCCAGGAGCGCAGAAACAUGCUUCAAGAAAAAGCUUAUGUCCAUAAUUCUUCAAGUCUGCAUAUGACUGCAUCAUUCUUCAGCCUUCUAGACUCCUUCCACUUCUGCCCCCUCGGAUACAAGGACUUCCCAGACUUAGGUAACACAACCUCUUCUCUUCUUUCAACAUGUUGUCAUGUUGUGCUUGAGUUAUGGUACAACUGGAGUUGGGUGAAAGCGACAUGGAGCCUUGAAGUGGUAGGUACCAGCUUUCACAUGUCCUCCGGGUCUGAAGUUUCUUGUGUUUGUC
RNA transcript from Zea mays, 326 nucleotides. It is a transcript of the gene named protein kinase pseudogene, with no coding region annotated. Lineage: Eukaryota; Viridiplantae; Streptophyta; Magnoliopsida; Poales; Poaceae. The record is from RefSeq and is marked validated. The transcript has 3 exons.